This is a long non-coding RNA of Bombyx mori (domestic silkworm), 778 nucleotides long. RefSeq lists it as uncharacterized. The record is from RefSeq and is a predicted model, not a curated record. The transcript is spliced from 3 exons. Lineage: Eukaryota; Metazoa; Arthropoda; Insecta; Lepidoptera; Bombycidae.
CCUUAGAACUUAUAUCUCAAGGUGGGUGGCGCAUUUACGUUGUAGAUUUCGAUGGGCUCGAGUAACCACUUAACACCAGGUGGGCUGUGAGCUCGUCCACCCAUCUAAGCAAUAAAAAAAAUUAGAUUCUUGUCAAUUUCUGUUUCCAAAUGCUCGUGCCUGAAAACUCUUUUUCAACGGCCAUCAAUUAAAAAAAAAACUUUGCAACUUUUGGCGGGAACGCAAGGAGCGAAAUUGCGUGAAUUAUUUUAUUUUGUUAACUUAGUGUUUCAACGUGUAAUAAUCGUGGUUUUUAACCUUUCACAUCUCUGAAAAUCUGAAAUAUAUAAUAAUAGAAGUUUUUUUUUAACUCGAAACUGGCAACAAUGGUAUCGCAAGCAGCCAGUUGGCAUAUUACGGACAAAAAGAAGAAUCUAUACAACGAUUAGUAUUUCCACUUCAUGUUCUAUUUGAUACAUGCCACAGAAGCACAAUUAUUACUAUUGUAAAUUGAAUAUAAUCAUGGGCAGAUAUUAGAUUCCAAUGAAAAAUAAUCUUAUCAAACCCUAUCAUAUCUUUGCUGAAUAGUAAUCCUAAUCAUACAAUGUAUGCCGCAAAAAUAGACAUGCACAGAUACAAUUUGCGACGCCGCGCCGCAGUGAUUUUUUUUGUUAAAAAAAGGGACAUCUUCAGAAAGACACGCUGUGCGCCAAUGUGAUAUUUCUAGACUUAAUUCCUAUUAAGAACAAGUCGAUGACUGGUUAUGACUUUUAGAAAAAUUUAAAUAAUCCUUCGAUAA